RNAcentral lists this unclassified non-coding RNA (649 nucleotides) under Hevea brasiliensis (rubber tree). Lineage: Eukaryota; Viridiplantae; Streptophyta; Magnoliopsida; Malpighiales; Euphorbiaceae. The record is from RNAcentral.
GACUUGACAGCAUCAAACUUCUUUAAAGAAGUUCUAUUGGAAGAAGAAGUCAACUUUGAUGAAAGAAGAAUUUAUUAGUCAAAUCUAAAUCCAAGUAUUGAUGAGGUAGCUUCAAGCCUAUUCAUGGAAGAAGACAAGGGAUUCACUUUUGCAUUGACAUCAAUUGAGGAAUUUGAUCAUGCAAAACAGGAUGAAGCGUUGAAAGAAGGAUUUGAGAGGAAAAUGCAAGGAAUGCAGUAAAGUCCAAAGUUAUUAAAAGAGCUUUCAUGGUAUAGAAGUAAGAAGAAAUUAGAGAUGGAGUUGUGAAACAAAAACAGGGACAAGCUGAAAUAGAAAAAGUGUAAUAGUACAAGAAGAAAAACAAAAUCCAAGUUGGGAAGACAAGUUAAAAGCGAAAGAUAUUGCUAAGAAGUCAAAAAACCAUAUGAGACGUGGAUAUUUUGAAAUACUGGUCCAUGAAAAGAACAUAAAAAUACAUCACAAUGUAUAAUGGCUAACUACAUUAAUGUUGAAGACUACUAUGAUCAAGACGGACGUGGAGUUCCAAAGCAUGAGAAAGAAAGUGAAGUUAUAGAGAGUCAGUGCUAAGGGAGAGUAUUGAAGAAUAACAUCACCUCCUCUCUACAUCUCCAGAAGCUUCUUCAUUAUU